This 465-nucleotide ribosomal RNA is filed under the name uncultured bacterium. RNAcentral describes it as "partial 16S ribosomal RNA". It matches the Rfam family "Bacterial small subunit ribosomal RNA", at positions 28 to 507 of the family's 1533-position model. The record is from RNAcentral.
GACGAACGCUGGCGGCGUGCUUAACACAUGCAAGUCGAACGGAAAGGCCCCUUUGGGGGUACUCGAGUGGCGAACGGGUGAGUAACACGUGAGUAACCUGCCCUUGACUUCGGGAUAACUUCAGGCAACUGGGGCUAAUACCGGAUAGGAAUCCUUGCUGCAUGGAGGGGGUUGGAAAGCUUCGGCGGUUUUGGAUGGACUGGCGGCCUGUCAGCUUGUUGGUGGGGUGGUGGCUUACCCAGGCUUUGACGGGUAGCCGGCCUGAGAGGGCGACCGGCCACAUUGGGGCCGAGAUACGGCCCAGGCUCCUAACGGAGGCAACAGGGGGGAAUAUUUCAAAAUGGGCGGGAGCCUGAUGCAGCAACGCCGCGGGCCGGAAGACGGCCUUCCGGUUGUAAACCGCUUUCAGCAGGGGCGAAGCUUGUGGUGACGGUACCUGCAGAAGAAGCACCGGCUAACUACGUG